This is an unclassified non-coding RNA of Erinaceus europaeus (western European hedgehog), 296 nucleotides long. Its record names the gene 7SK. It matches the Rfam family "7SK RNA". Rfam says of the family: 7SK was discovered as an abundant small nuclear RNA in the mid-70s but a possible function has only recently been suggested. Lineage: Eukaryota; Metazoa; Chordata; Mammalia; Eulipotyphla; Erinaceidae. The record is from Ensembl.
UGACAUCUCAUGGCUAUGACAUCUGUCCCUCCCUCCAUUGAUCACUGGGGCUGAUUAGGCUCAUCUGGUUGACUAGGUUUGGUUGGAGUCCCCUUCCCUGGACAUCCCUCAGAAAGAAGCAAACUGCAUGAUCAGAAAAACCUCAAGUAGAUAAGGAACAUUCUUUGUUUGAAGAUAUAUGAGUAGCUAUGCUUCCCUGCUAGAAAAUUCAAGUAAGAUCUCAAUAUAGUAUCAUUUCUCACUAGAAUAUAUAAUCUUUAUAAAACAAAAAAAAAAAAAGUCUAAAUGCAGUAUUU